Hylaeus anthracinus is the source of this 3346-nucleotide long non-coding RNA. RefSeq lists it as uncharacterized. The transcript is spliced from 2 exons. Lineage: Eukaryota; Metazoa; Arthropoda; Insecta; Hymenoptera; Colletidae. The record is from RefSeq and is a predicted model, not a curated record.
UGUGUGUGUGUGUGUGUGUGUGUGUGUGUGUGUGUGUGUGUGUGUUACAAAGUUUGUGUGUGUGUGUGUGUGUUUUAGUAGUAGUAAUAGCAGCAGUAACAGUAGCAGUAAUAGUAAUAAUAGGAGUAACAGUAGUAGUAGUAGUAAGUCGACCGGGUGCACAUCCGACGAGGGCAGGUCCUAAAGUGACAAACAACGACGCAUAUCUUUUCUCCUGGUUGGGAAAAACCGAGGGGACAAUUUGUACAAUUAUCGGUAUUAUAAUAUAGUAAAUUCCUGACUUACUCCCUCUCCCUCCCUCCCCCACACUCCCGCUGUACUCCCACUCCUCUCGUCCAUUCUCUCACACUCUCUCUCUCUCUCUCUCUCUCUCAGCAUUAUCUGUUUCGUUUAGAUUAUUAGAUUUAUCGUUUCCUCAGACUUAUUCGUAUAUAUGCCUAGCAGCGACGAUUAACUUCUAAUAUUUAUUUUACGUUGUUUAUAGUAAAAUCAACGCCGAGUGUAUCGUCGAUUAAAAAUUUUGUACGUUUUAUAUUCACGAACGUCGUAGUACUUUGGUGUGCUAGUGGUGGGCAGCCCCGAAAAUUUUGUCAGCUCUUGUUAAUUACUGUUAAUUACUAACGGAACAAAAACUUAAUUACGAUAAUAUUUGCGAUUCAUUUUUCCUCUCUUUUUCAUUUAAAUACAUUCCGCGUAGCUUAUUGCUGUUUCGCCAACUCGAUAAUUGCACGUUUCGAGCGAAUCUCGAAGGUUUUAAAAAAGUAGAAAUAUAAUAAAUAAUAAAUUUUGAUGCACCUGGCUAAUAUAGUUAAUUCUCUGAACGUGCUAAAAAUGUUUGCUGAGAAAGACUCUCGAAUUUUUAAUAAAAUUGCGACGGUAAGAAAAGGGCCAGUCCUCGCGAAGGACUUAAAAUUGCUCGAAGGGUGGCGCCAUCUACACUAGCCGCCAUUUUUUCACCCCACGGUGCGUGUCACCGACUGGGGCAAAUGUCCAGCAAUCGAUUAUCGCGCGAUGAAAAUUCUCAGGGUUCCUUUACAAACGUUAUGUACAAUUCAAUUUUCAAAAGAAAAAAAAAAUAAUAAGAGAGAACAACAGCAAAAAACAACCGUGCCGUUCGCGUGUAACCGAAAAAAAUAACAUGUAAACUGCUAUAACAAAGUAUAAUCAUUUAACUUUAUUUAUAAUAAUCUUCAGCGUAUAAGCUUCCUCCGUUUUCGUUUUUUUACUUUUCUUUUUUUUCUACAGCUUCCAAUAAAUUAAACGACCUCCAUCUUGAUUAAUAACAAGAACCUUCGUCUCAAUCACACACACUCGCUUUCUCUAUCGCUCUCGCAGGGCCGACGUUGCCUCCAAUAAGAAAAUACCGUUUCAACCGUCGGUUCGGCUGAUUACAAACGCAGACCGUGUUUAUAAUUGUUUUUCCUCUUAUUUGUAAGGUCAACGAGAGAGGUGACUGCGUUCACGGUGACCUAAUCUGACCCACGUGACCUAAUUUGAUACGUGAUUGGUAUUAUUCCUUAAAUAAAUAUUCGAUUGCAAAAAUUAAUCGAAUGAAAUUACGAAUAAAAGCUCAAAAUCAAAUCGAAUCGAAUGAAAUUCAUUCUGCCUCGAGUAAAAUAGUCGAAUAAACGUUGCGAAUAAAUUGAAACCAUUCAAGAACAACGAAUAACCUUUCUCAUAACCUUCCUCGAAUAAAUCGAUGAAUGAAACCAUUAUUCGUCGCUCUCGAAUAAAUAAUCGAAUAAACGUUGCGAAUAAAUUGAAAUCAUUCAAGAACAACGAAUAACCUUUCUCAUAACCUUCCUCGAAUAAAUCGAUGAAUGAAAUCAUUAUUCGUCGCUCUCGAAUAAAUAAUCGAAUAAACGUUGCGAAUAAAUUGAAAUCAUUCAAGAACAACGAAUAACCUUUCUCAUAACCUUUCUCGAAUAAAUCGAUGAAUGAAAUCGUUAUUCGUCGCUCUCGAAUAAACGAAGACGUCUUAUUCGUUACUCACGAAUAAACACGUCGAUACUUUAUUCGUUAUUCAAGAAUAAAUCUGUGACGUUUUGUUCGGUUAUUCGCAAAUCAAGCUUUGCUGACAGCUCUGUAUAACAAUCGAACGCGAUUAAUGGAAUUUUCGUACCUCGUUAUUCGUCACCGUGAACGCGAAUAAAUUGCGUCGAAUAAUUGUCUAUGUACACACAGGCAAAGGAGACACCUAGGAGAAACGGACAGAUCAGGGUACCCCGAGCGGACAAACAGACAGACAAGAGAGAUCGUGGCACGAUCGCGCGUCUACGGUACCGUUAACCCCUCGCGGUCGUACGUCGAGCGUGGCUCGACAUCAGUGGGGCGUCAGAAUAUCUGGACCACAAAGGAUUAAACAACAUGCGUGGCGCGUGUGACUUUUAUGUUCGGCGUGUGUGUAUGUGUGUGUACGCGUGUAUGUGUGCGUGUGUGCUUGUGUGUCUGAUUGUAUGCAACGUGUGGCUCGACACGUUUUAAAGGAGUAUUAUAGUUGUUCCUUAAAAAAACACAGAAACUCGAGUUGGCAGUAUCAUGAACAAAUCGCUCGCUCUACCUCGUCGAAUGGCAAAUUCGAAAUCGAGCGAGCGCGCAAGUGUGUGUAUAUAAUAAUAUAUUUUUUAUCUGUUAUUUUUUUUCCAUUUUCUUUCCGCUUCUCUUUUACGCAUCGUUUUGUUGGUUUUGUCUUCCGUUUUGUUUCUUUUCGUCCUCUUCGGUUCAUCCUUGACAUCUCUGUGUCGUCUGCGCACGCGCGUGGUAGUGUCUUCGUUUCUUCAUCUUCUUCUUUUUUCCUCUUCCCUAUUUUGUAUAAUAAUCGUCCUUUUUUUUUCUCUUUUUCUUUUUUUUUUCAGCGGUUAGCGUCGAAUGGGCGCGGGGAAAUAAACGGCUACGACAUUUAAGACAAUGAGAAAAUCGACGUCAACGGUUAACGCCAUUGGCAGUGAUCGUAGAAUUACGUGUUUUCCUUUUUUUUUUCCCUCCGUUUUUGUUUAUUUUAUUUCUUUUCUUUUGUCUGUGUUCCGUGACUUUGCAUGUCGCGUUGUGUUUGUGUUUGUGUGUCUGUCCGUGUACGGUUUCUCCCUCCCUCGCUUUGCCAUCCAUUUUGCUCCCUCCUUUCACUCCCCACCCCCACUCUUCUCUCUCGCUCUCUCUCUCUCUUUCUCACACACACAUACGCACGUUUCUUUUGCUUUCAUUCUGUCGUUCCCUCGCCGAGUAACGUAUGACCGGUUUUUCAUUUGUCGAAGUAUGCGGUUCACCUUGAUUCCUGAGCGUCUCGACGUGAAACCUGCAGAACGCGAUUGUGGGGGGGACGGGGGCGAGGGGACUUGCUCCAGGCGGU